CGGAACUAACUAGAAGGAAGAAGAUGGCCGGGUGAGAAAGGACACAUGCUCCAAACAUAAUCAUAGCAGCCAUUUCCAUUCAAAGCACAAAAUACAACGCCUUACUUCCUUUGUGAUGGGAACUGAGAGGUCACAGCGCGCGGUGCAGGCACAGCACAAUCUGCACCCUUACCGCACACCAAGGGUAAGGAGCAAGGAUGAAGCUGACUGAAUUCAAGCGGAGUCCGGCGCACUUAUCCAGCUGUCUUGACUAUGAGCAGGGAAGGGAUUUCAUGAAGAUAUGCUGAAGCCACGAGAGGGGGAGGAAGCAUGAGAAGAACCUGUUUCUGUCACGGGCUGGGAUCCCGCCCGGCACAACAGGUCCUUCCAAACUCUGUCCCCAGCGCUGCAAUCUCCCCCGCUAAACAGUAUGACCGAGGAGAGAGAAAUUUCUUUGAGCUCUUAGAAGGAAGGGGAAUACAUACAUAUGUUAAUAUAAGCUACUGUUUUUAUUACUGAACGUCAAUUAAAAGUAAAUCCCUUGGCAUGUUGACUGCAAACACGGCUUAAUAUAUCGAGUCAUCACACCCUGGCCAGAAAUAGCCUACACUCAGGUUAUGAAGUCAACAGUACAACUAAUUGUCCCCACAGUUCUUGCUUUGAAAUGUAUAGAAAUGAACCCUCUUUUUAUGGAAAUCUUAUAAUUAGAUGUCUUCUACACUGUUGGUUCCAUUAGAAACAAAAAUUGCCCAGCUAGUUGAAGAAAGAAAAAAAAAAAGCUUGUUUUGGGUUGGAGAAUCUACUAAGGUUAAAUAAUGAGGCAAAUGUUACUUUUGUAACAAGUCUGAGACUCACAGUGGAAUUUUCCAAUCAUUCUUGUACAAGGAUAAACUUUAACCCAAGACUGUCAACCUGGGACUAUCUCUAGACCUCACCUGGAUAGAACUUUCUGCUUCCAUUAGUAUGAAUGCGCCUGAGUCUGGGGGUUCCACAGGAUGCUCCGGCCGUCCAUGAACACAGAUUUUCUGCGGGGCUACUGCAGGGACUGCGCCAGAUGAUGAGGAGGCAGAGAUGAAGAAGAAAACACAAGCCUCGCUUUCCAAGAAGCCUGCAGGGUUUACUAUGAUGAUUGAGACGGAAACCAACCACUACCAUACCGAGUGUGAGUGCUGCUCUGUGCAGAGCACAGAAAAGGAAUACUUUCCUUAGAUAGGUAAUAUAGAGGAACAGAAAACUUCCAGAGGGCAAGAGGAAAAUUUCAGCCCCGUGACGGUGCAAGAAAAGAAAACAUAAACAUGUGAAAGGGAAGAGGUACGAGAAGCCUUGUCAUGGCUAAGGAUAUCAAGUUGUGAGUAGGGGGCCCUUGCUGGCUCAGCCAGAGGAGUGUGCAAUCUUGAUCUUGUGGUCAUCAGUUCAAGCCCCACGUUGGGUGUAGAGAUGACUU
Molecule: long non-coding RNA, 1423 nt
Organism: Mustela erminea (ermine)
Lineage: Eukaryota; Metazoa; Chordata; Mammalia; Carnivora; Mustelidae
Exons: 2
Source: RefSeq, a predicted model, not a curated record